Long non-coding RNA from Passer domesticus (house sparrow), 5299 nucleotides. RefSeq lists it as uncharacterized. NCBI's taxonomy places the organism in Eukaryota, Metazoa, Chordata, Aves, Passeriformes, Passeridae. The record is from RefSeq and is a predicted model, not a curated record. The transcript has 3 exons.
UCUGGAGUUAAGAUGCGCUGGGAAGUCAGGUCAUGGCUCCCCUUCAGUAGGCUGAACAAAGGGCACAGCUCUUCUCUCGUGAGUCCAAGCAGUGGUCGGAUCCAGGUGAUGGAGCCACACAACGGCUGUAAGUCCCUUAGCGUUUGAGCCUUAUCUUUGAUGGAGAUACUUUGGGAAAUAAUGGCUGGCUCACUGAUUAGGAAUCCAAGGUAUUUCCAUGGGGAGGUCUACUGGGUUUUUCAGGAGCAAUAUCAAAACCUGCAUCUUCAACUGCUGUCAUAGUCUUUCUGAUCACUGUGUUAAGGUAAGUCUUGGCUUGGGAGCAAAUUAAAAUGUCGUCCAUAUUUUGCCGAAUUAUAGCUUCAGGGAAGGCUUUCCUGAUUGGAGAUAUAAUCCCAGCCACAAACAUUUGACAUAAAGCAGGGGAAGUUUUCAUUCCCUGUGGCAAUGUGACCUAAUGAUAUCUUUUAAAGGGUUCUUGACAGUUGAUGAUCGGUAUGGAAAAUGUGAAUUUGGGAGUGCGGGACGGAGAGGGAUGUUGAAUAAGCAGACUUUGAUAUCAAGGAUUGUGAGCUGCCAGUCCCUGGGAAGCACAGAAGGUGAGGGGAGGCCUGGUUGCAAGGGGCCCAUGUCUUCUAAAACAUCAUUUACUUUCCAAAAGUCUUGUAAUAACCUCCAUCUGUCUUUGCCAGGUUUUUUAUAAAAAGACAGGGGUCAGGGGCUAGUUGAUGGUACAAUGUGUCCUUUUAAUAAUUGUUCUCACACUAGGGCGUGGUGUGCUUCUAAUUUGUCAUUUGGAAGGCCCAAUGAUCCACCCACACAGGAUCAUACCCACAGGGAGGGAUCAUACCUUUUCCCACAGAUGGACAACAGCCAUAUUGAGUGGUUUAGUUUUCAUUUCUUUUUAAUUCCCAAGUUUCAUUUUUAACAUUGUAAUACAGCAUCUCUAUUCAAAUCAUUAUACUCACCUUGGUUAAUUAAAUAUUUAUUAAUUUAUUUUCCCCCCAUAAUAUCAGACAAAAGCAUAGGACAAAAGCAUAGGAAGAACAACAAGCAAUUACAGAAAUACAGUAUCUUCCCUGAGAAUCCCUUGGAAACCAUGGUAAAACAAUGGGAAGAAUAUCAACUUACUAAAGAUAAAGACCCACAGCUCAAGAUUGUAAAUUGCAUGUUUGAAUGGCCAAAGAAGAAAUUAAAACAAGGUCUGCGCUGGCUGAAGCAUGGGUCUACCAGGAUGUGGAUUUGCAAAGUACUUUACAAUUACGUCCAAAAUAAAUUAAAUGCAGACUUGGAUUGCAGUAUGUGGAGGUCUGGUUUAAAUAUUAGAACAGCGAAAAGGAAGUAGAAACAGAUAAAACAAACCAAAUUCUCUCUGUAAUGAUCAAUGAUAAAGACACAACAAGGAAAACCAAUCAACCAAGGUGGGACUCAUUAAAUUUCGUCCCCCCUACUGCACCUCCUAACGAACCAGCUGCAACUGCAGGUGAGUCAUUGGAGGCUUCAACGACUCAUGUAACUGAGAGGGCUGAAGAAGUUGAAAGUAGCAGUGGGACAUCAGAAGAAAGGUAUAUUCUAUCAUCAUCCUCCAGGCAAAUUACAAAUUCAGCCAUGCAGGAAGUUCCAUCCAAUCAAGAAGGUCCAGGCUUCUUCACUUGAAGGAGAACCCUAGCAGUACAAAAAUGUUCCUCCUGCUCCAGCAGUAAAGAUAAAACAAAGCAGGUAACAACUUACUUGGUCGGGAUCUCCAGAUACCUUUGAAAGUUGGAGUAGUUCCACAAGAAGGAAGGAUGAAGGUCAAAUUGUUUACUUUAUCCACACAAGAUGAACAGCUGAUUAUUCCCACAGUGUAGGCCCGAACAGGUAGCCAGGAUAAAAUGAACUUUACGCCCAUUCUAAUUAAUCUCCUUCCAGGCAUUAAACCAGCAAAAGUACCCCAGCACCCCCUUACAAAGACCAAAAGGUAUGGGCUAAAACCCAUAAUAACUGAACUGUGACAUGAUAAUAUACUAGAGCCAUGUACUUCCCCAUACAACACCCCAUUCUUGCUAUUAAAAAGCCUGACAAUAGCUACAGGCUAGUUCAAGACCUACGUGAAGUAAAUAAAAGAGUGCAAGCUCUGUGCCUGUUAGUACAAAACCCUUACACCUUGUUAAGUUAUCACCUAUGCACUCUUGGUUCUCAGUAACUGACCUGGAGGAUGCAUUUUGGUCAUGCCCUGUAGAUUCUCCUUCUAGACACCUGUUUGCCUUCACCUGGGAAGAUCCAGACACUGGAAGGAAACAGCAGCUCACCUGGACCUGGCGACUGCAAGGGUACAUGGAGUCUCCCACACUCUUCGGUCAGGCCUUGAAGAGCCUGUUCAUUUCCUUUUCUCCACCCUCAGGAAUACAAGUAACACAGAGAAACAACAUGAAUAGAACCAAGGCCAGUUCCAGGCAGGACUUUCCUGCAUUUAGGUCCCUUCCUGCAUCCAGGUACACUCCCAUGACAACCAAGGGGUUCGAACCCAGGUCUGCACCACCUAUCAGAGAGUACCACGGCACUUCAAUCUUCCCAUUGACCCCUAGGGAAGGGGAGGUGCGCCCUACUCCUCAUACUCUCCCUCUGGAUCCAGUAGAUCCCCCUUGUCAGAGCCUGCGUCCGCUGCCACCAAUGCUAACAUACUGUGUACCUGACCAAAGGGAACUCCUACCUCAUAAAACACUCAUUCCAGGCACAUACUUUUGUAAAUCCCUUUUGUUAUAAUAUGAUGACACUGAGUAGAUACUGACAAUCAGGCAAAAAUCAGUGGAUUGGUAGAAAUAUUGGAAAUACAAACCAGAAAACGAAUGGAGAGUGCCCUGAUCAAGAGAUUUGGCUAUAUGUCAAAUUUAAUUAUACAACGAAAAAGAAGGAUUUGUGGAAAAGGAAAACUUAUGAUGUUGAUUUGAUUUGAGAAAUUGUAAUAACUGAAAGGGGGAAACAAAAGGGGGACAAUCCAUUAGCUACCGAUAAAAACUUAUUUAUUGUUUUAGCAGAACAAAUUAGUAAAAAUCAAAAUAUAACCAAUUGUUGGGUUUGUGGAGGCACCUUCAAAUCAGAAGCCUGGCCUCAGCAAGGAGUCAGUACUGGACCCCUCAAAUGACUUAAACUAAAUUAUUUCCCCUCCCAAACUCCAAGAGAUCAAGACAAUUGGCUAUUGAGGGACACAGUUCUUGGAGAAGAAUGUAUCUGGAGAAAAGGAAAAAGAUACACUGAGGAUGUUGUAGAAACUACCUGUAAAAGAUAUUUAUUAACUGAGGAUCACAAGACGUGGUGGAUACUGAGCGAACCAGAUACCUUUUGGUCAAAGAAGAAAAUCAGAAACAAGAACUGCAUAUUACAUCCCAAUGAACAACUUUAUCAGUGCUGGAACCCUAAAAGUCAGCCUUAUUCAGUAUUACCCCAAGUUUCUAAGUAUUGGACCUCCACUUUUAUCACGCUUUCACAUUUUUGGGAGGCUCCCCAAGGUUUACACUGGAAUUGUGGGAAAAGAGCAUAUUCUAAACUCCCUUCUCACUGGUGUGGCAAUUGUACCUUAGGAGCAAUACGACCUAGUCCCUUUCUACUAUCAGAAGCAGCUGGAAACCAGCUAGAAGUUUGCCUAGAUGAUAAAUUUAAGAGACAAAAAGAUGUGAAAUAGGGGGAAUGCAACAAUGGGGCAAGGAAGGGUGGCCAUCAGAGAGAAUUUUAGAAACUUAUGGACCUGCCACUUGGGCUCAGGACGGGAGCUGGGGCUAUCAAACUCCCAUUUACAUGCUAAAUUGCAUUGUUAGACUACAAGCCCUGAUUCAAGUCAUAUCUAAUCAGGCCAAGAGUGCAACUGAUCUUUUCAACGCCCAUCAGAAGCAAAUGAAAACAGCUGUAUUUCAAAACUCUUUAGCCCUAGAUUAUUUAUUAGCCAAAGAGGGUGGAAUAUGUGGCAAUUUCAACACAUCAGACUGUUGCCUGCAUAGUGAUGACCAUGGUGAAACUAUUACUAAAAUUACCCAAAACAUCAGAAAGCUUACACAUGUUCCAGUCCGGUUUUCCCUCACUACACCUGAAAAGUAGAAAACUAUGUUCUCUGGGGAGUGGUGGAAAAAAGCCUUAAUUAUUUUUGAAGUUUCCUUAGUUAGCCUUCUCUUUCUCCCCUGCUUAAUCCCAUGUUUCAUUCAUCUAAUUACCUCACUAGUACAAAGCAUUCCCGCUAUUCAAAAUCUUCAAAUGAGCCAACAUUCUACCCCUCCUGUCAAGAGAAUCAUGAAUCUCAACCCAAUCAAAAAGAUAGGAAAAUGGGUAAAAAGGCCCAGGAAGUUUAGGUUAAUUCUAAACAAUUAAACACUAUCAACGAAAAACUAUCCACAUUUGUGUAAAUGCAAAAGCCAAUUAUUAACAUAAGGGGAAAAGGGAGACAUUGCAAUUUAUAAAACCCCUUAAAUGGCUUCUGCAUUAGUGACUGGUUUACAUUUGUAACCGUUAAUUAGCUUUUGCAUUUAUAACUGUUUAAAGUUACUAGUUUGAUCAAAUAAAAGUGUUCAAGUUAAUGAAGUAAAUAUUUUAAAAUCAUUAUAAAGUUAUACUAGAUAUUCAGUACAUUCCAAUUGAAUGUUUAACAGUCCUGUUAAAAUAGAUAGCAAAAUAAGAACCGUAUUAUUUUUAUAAUCCUUUGUUCUUCACCUAAUUACAUUAUUUGUAAAUUUAAUGAUCUCUUUUAAGUAGCCUUAUACUUUCAAAGGUCCCAGUGCAGUUUCCUCUCACCAACAGCAUGCAGCAUUUUACAGACAAUUCCUAACCCACUCCAGGUUGAACUGGUAACUUGGUGCCAUAGCAACUGUGCAUACUAAUGAGAGAGCUUCCCAUCAAAAACCUCAGAGAUAUCAUCCCACCCCAGUGACAGCACACUCUGGGAAAGAAGAUCUUACCUCAUCAUCUACUAGCACCAAUCACCUGAGACUGUGGGGGCAGGACUCCAAGUACAGACUGAGGGGACCGAGAACAUCAAAGGGGCAGCCUGGCCUGAAGAGCUGUCUUUGCUGUCUUUUACUGUUCCUGGGACUGUGACUUAGCUACAGCAGGGGACCCCACACUGCAGAUUUUGGUCAAUAUCUCUUUUUAGAGACCUUUUUCCAGAUUUGAGGGCAGACUAAGUGCAUUCACUGAAAUGCCCUUGGGUUCUUGCCUUGGGGCCAGACGCCAGUUCGGCUAGAGGUUUCCUCAAUCCUUGGGCCUGGGACUUUAUCCUUUUUUCUUUCUUUCCUUUCUUCUUUUUCCUUACCUCCCCUUUGUUUUUCCCCUUUAA